CCAAAGGCCCUUUUCAGGGCCAUCACAUUAAGAGUCCGCUGCUUAG
Non-coding RNA from Soboliphyme baturini, 46 nucleotides. Lineage: Eukaryota; Metazoa; Nematoda; Enoplea; Dioctophymatida; Soboliphymatidae. The record is from Rfam.